AGAAAGAGAUCUUAGGGUCAUUGUGGUUAGUUCCCUGAAAAUAUCCGCUCAAUGCGCAGCGGCAGUCAAAAAAGCGAACAGAAUGUUAGGAACCAUUAGGAAAGGGAUAGAUAAUAAGACCAAAAAUAUCACUGCAUAAAUCCAUGGGACACCCACACCUUGAUUACUUCAUGCAGUUCUGGUCACCCCAUCUCAAAAAAGAUAUAUUCUAACUGGAAAAGAUACAGAGAAGGGCAACAAAAAUGACGAGGGGCUGGAACAGCUUCCAUCCAA
This is a long non-coding RNA of Dermochelys coriacea (leatherback sea turtle), 273 nucleotides long. RefSeq lists it as uncharacterized. The record is from RefSeq and is a predicted model, not a curated record. The transcript is spliced from 3 exons. Lineage: Eukaryota; Metazoa; Chordata; Testudines; Dermochelyidae.